Molecule: ribosomal RNA, 492 nt
Filed under: uncultured bacterium
Lineage: Bacteria
Description: partial 16S ribosomal RNA
Rfam family: Bacterial small subunit ribosomal RNA
Source: RNAcentral
AGUGAACGCUGGCGGUAGGCCUAACACAUGCAAGUCGAACGGCAGCACAGUAAGAGCUUGCUCUUACGGGUGGCGAGUGGCGGACGGGUGAGGAAUACAUCGGAAUCUACUUUUUCGUGGGGGAUAACGUAGGGAAACUUACGCUAAUACCGCAUACGACCUACGGGUGAAAGCAGGGGAUCUUCGGACCUUGCGCGAUUGAAUGAGCCGAUGUCGGAUUAGCUAGUUGGCGGGGUAAAGGCCCACCAAGGCGACGAUCCGUAGCUGGUCUGAGAGGAUGAUCAGCCACACUGGAACUGAGACACGGUCCAGACUCCUACGGGAGGCAGCAGUGGGGAAUAUUGGGCAAUGGGCGCAAGCCUGAUCCAGCCAUACCGCGUGGGUGAAGAAGGCCUUCGGGUUGUAAAGCCCUUUUGUUUGGAAAGAAAAGCAGCAGGUUAAUACCCCGCUGUUCUGACGGUACCCAAAGAAUAAGCACCGGCUAACUUCGUG